GAAGUAGAAUGGAAAUCCGGGCUGGGAGGCUCCACCUUCAACACUGUGAUGCCAAGACGCUUCCUACCAGAGGAGAAGAUCGCACAGAGAGAGCUCUGCAGAAAGCAGCUGAAGCACUGGACGUUACAUUUUCCUGACACUCAAAUCCAGGAGAUUAGUUGUUGACAUAAGAGAUUAGCUUUUUCUUUGGGUUUUGUCCAUUGGAGCCUCAUUAAGAUUAGUUUUUAAAUCUACCUACAGGUGUUAAAAAAAACAGCAAAAUGCAGAAUCUACCAUUUUAUAAUUUAUCAAACAAAAAAUGUAUUUACAAUGGACACGUGAAUUUUAAUUAAGUGUAUGUUUCUUUUGAGAUGACGGUAUUCUUGUCAAAAAGACGAAAAAAGUUCAAAAUGAAUCCCUUAAAACCAGUUAACAUCCAUUCAAAACCUCAAUCUAUAGAAUUCAGUCUUCAACUUUUAUAUAAAAAUAUGAUUUUACAUAUUUGCUAAAACUGUCAGCAGUUUGAGACAGAUAAUCGGUGA
Molecule: long non-coding RNA, 521 nt
Organism: Xiphophorus maculatus (southern platyfish)
Lineage: Eukaryota; Metazoa; Chordata; Actinopteri; Cyprinodontiformes; Poeciliidae
Exons: 2
Source: RefSeq, a predicted model, not a curated record